RNAcentral lists this long non-coding RNA (1323 nucleotides) under Monodelphis domestica (gray short-tailed opossum). Its description in RNAcentral is "lncRNA (ENSMODG00000043101.1)". The record is from RNAcentral. Lineage: Eukaryota; Metazoa; Chordata; Mammalia; Didelphimorphia; Didelphidae.
CUUAAUCCUUAAGUGGGGGGUGUAUACAUUUCUGUUUGCUAAAAUUCUAAAGACUAAUCAGGGUGGAAUGAAUCUAAAAUUCACACAUCAUAGAAUUCAUCUGAUGUUUUCUUUCUGAUGAACUCUAGUAUUUUUCUUCCUCUCUAUCAUAUACCAGACAGGGUACAGAGGGCAAAUAUACUUAUUGUGUCUCUAUUUUAUAUUUCCCUAUGUAUGAUCCCUUACUAGGUAGUGUGAAGAUCCCAGGAAAUCUACUUCCCUCAUGAAGCUUCAGUUCUACAGACACUGCCAAGAGGCAGAUUUUUGUUACUAAGCCCUUUAACUCUGAACACCUGAUUUUAUAAGGAAGAGCUCCAAGUUCCCCAGGCAGUGGAGACUUCCUUGAGCUGAGAGAGGGAGAUCAUUGGAAACACCUGAGGGGGACAAUCAAGUAUAAAAUCCUAUGAAGUGUUAGCCCCUUUCUCAACUUCCUAUUUUGUUUUGAGGUCAGCAGCCUUGCUCUGGGAUUUAUUACAAUGAAAUCCCUUCUGGUAUUAGGAGUGCUGUGCCUUUUAGUUUGCCUAACUUGGGCUAAUGAUGAACCAGUGACUGUGGAAUGUAGUCUUCUCAUGUUCCGGGUGUCAGUGAAAAAAAAUAUAUUUGGUGCUGCCAAUCUUGUGACUGCUGAAGAACUGAUGCUUGGGACAGGUUGUCAAGUUAAUGGAGAGAAGCCAAAUAUAUUUGAGCUACACUACAGUGUGUCAGAGUGUGGGAUUCAGAUUAAGACUUUUGAAACACAUGCGGUCUAUAAAGUUAGUCUCCAUUAUACCCCAAAGAAUCCCACUUUUGGUCUUGUGACACGUGAAUUCUCCUUGGCCUGCACAGUGUUCAAGCUGCAAUAUUUCCCGAAGACAGAGAAUCCUGAUCUUUUUGGACCAGACAAAGAAGACCAAGAACCUAUUGACAUAAGAAACCAGGCUAGUGUUCCUGACCCCUCCUGUUGGAGACAAGCACUCCGUGAGAUCCCAUGGAGCAAAGCAUAAAGUCUCUGUAGAACAGGAGACUCAAUCUUGGAACCGGUUCUCUUUCCCAUCUUGUCUCUGAGUUCUGCAGUUUGUCACCUUCUUUGCCCUGGAGAUAUUGGGCUAUCUUGCAUCUUGAGAUAUUACCAAGGAGGUAGCUAAAGGACAGCCAAUGCGAAACAAGUGUAUCAUCCUCGCCACUCUGGUUCCAAACUUUGGGAAGCUGGCAUUGUUUAAACUUGCCUUGGUGAGCCUCUCAGGAUGUUUUUAACAUUCAUUUUAAAGAAAUAAACCUUUCCAGUACUGCCCUUAUUUUGUAAUC